Long non-coding RNA from Astyanax mexicanus (Mexican tetra), 341 nucleotides. RefSeq lists it as uncharacterized. Lineage: Eukaryota; Metazoa; Chordata; Actinopteri; Characiformes; Acestrorhamphidae. The transcript is spliced from 4 exons. The record is from RefSeq and is a predicted model, not a curated record.
GUAAGGGGUAGCUGUGAGCGUUGGAGGUGGGGUUGUAGGGAUGUAAGGGGUAGUUGUGAGCGUUGGAGGUGGGGUUGUAAGGAUGUAAGGGGUAGUUGUGAGCGUUGGAGGUGGGGUUGUAGGGAUGUAAGGGGUAGUUGUGAGCGUUGGAGGUGGGGUUGUAAGGAUGUAAGGGGUAGUUGUGAGGGUCGGAGGUGGGGUUGUAUGGAUUUAAGUGGUAGUUGUGAAGGUUGGAGGUGGGGUUGGGAUGUAAGGUGUGGUCGAGGGUAGAGGUUGUGACUAUGGGGAUACUAGCCGUGGUUUUGGGGGUAAAGGGUGUGGUUGUAAGGGUUGGAGGUGGA